UUGGGGAUUUAAUGGCAAUAGUGUGGA
Molecule: non-coding RNA, 27 nt
Filed under: Mus musculus (house mouse)
Lineage: Eukaryota; Metazoa; Chordata; Mammalia; Rodentia; Muridae
Source: RNAcentral